Molecule: ribosomal RNA, 1000 nt
Filed under: uncultured bacterium
Lineage: Bacteria
Also listed under: 1 other name
Description: bacterial SSU rRNA
Rfam family: Bacterial small subunit ribosomal RNA
Source: RNAcentral
GGGGGAUAUUGCGCAAUGGGGGCAACCCUGACGCAGCAACGCCGCGUGAAGGAUGAAGGUUUUCGGAUUGUAAACUUCUUUUAUUAAGGACGAAAAAUGACGGUACUUAAUGAAUAAGCUCCGGCUAACUACGUGCCAGCAGCCGCGGUAAUACGUAGGGAGCAAGCGUUGUCCGGAUUUACUGGGUGUAAAGGGUGCGUAGGCGGCUUUGCAAGUCAGAUGUGAAAUCUAUGGGCUCAACCCAUAAACUGCAUUUGAAACUGUAGAGCUUGAGUGAAGUAGAGGCAGGCGGAAUUCCCCGUGUAGCGGUGAAAUGCGUAGAGAUGGGGAGGAACACCAGUGGCGAAGGCGGCCUGCUGGGCUUUAACUGACGCUGAGGCACGAAAGCGUGGGUAGCGAACAGGAUUAGAUACCCUGGUAGUCCACGCUGUAAACGAUGAUUACUAGGUGUGGGGGGUCUGACCCCUUCCGUGCCGGAGUUAACACAAUAAGUAAUCCACCUGGGGAGUACGGCCGCAAGGUUGAAACUCAAAGGAAUUGACGGGGGCCCGCACAAGCAGUGGAGUAUGUGGUUUAAUUCGAAGCAACGCGAAGAACCUUACCAGGUCUUGACAUCCAACUAACGAAGUAGAGAUACAUUAGGUGCCCUUCGGGGAAAGUUGAGACAGGUGGUGCAUGGUUGUCGUCAGCUCGUGUCGUGAGAUGUUGGGUUAAGUCCCGCAACGAGCGCAACCCUUGCUAUUAGUUGCUACGCAAGAGCACUCUAAUAGGACUGCCGUUGACAAAACGGAGGAAGGUGGGGACGACGUCAAAUCAUCAUGCCCCUUAUGACCUGGGCUACACACGUACUACAAUGGAUGUUAACAGAGGGAAGCAAGACAGCGAUGUGGAGCAAACCCCUAAAAACAUUCUCAGUUCAGAUUGCAGGCUGCAACCCGCCUGCAUGAAGAUGGAAUUGCUAGUAAUCGCGGAUCAGCAUGCCGCGGUGAAUACGUUCCCG